UUGUAUAUUAUUAUCAAGAAAUGAGAAGAUUGAUAGUGUUAUUAGUGUUCUUGUUUUGCUAAAUUUUGUAAAUUGUUAUCAAGAAAUGAGAAGAUUGAUAGUGUUAUUAGUGUUCUUGUUUUGAAAAAUUUUGUAUAUUGUUAUCAAGAAAUGAGAAGAUUGAUAGUGUUAUUAGUGUUCUUGUUUUACUAAAUUUUGUAUAUUGUUAUCAAGAAAUGAGAAGAUUGAUCGUGUUAUUAGUGUUCUUGUUUUGCUAAAUUUUGUAUAUUGUUAUCAAGAAAUGAGAAGAUUGAUA
RNAcentral lists this long non-coding RNA (295 nucleotides) under Lathyrus oleraceus (garden pea). RNAcentral's name for it is "Pisum sativum (pea) long non-coding RNA (PSAT_LNC040002)". Lineage: Eukaryota; Viridiplantae; Streptophyta; Magnoliopsida; Fabales; Fabaceae. The record is from RNAcentral.